RNAcentral lists this ribosomal RNA (737 nucleotides) under Klebsiella pneumoniae. RNAcentral's name for it is "bacterial SSU rRNA". It matches the Rfam family "Bacterial small subunit ribosomal RNA", at positions 24 to 752 of the family's 1533-position model. Lineage: Bacteria; Pseudomonadati; Pseudomonadota; Gammaproteobacteria; Enterobacterales; Enterobacteriaceae. The record is from RNAcentral.
UCAGAUUGAACGCUGGCGGCAGGCCUAACACAUGCAAGUCGAGCGGUAGCACAGAGAGCUUGCUCUCGGGUGACGAGCGGCGGACGGGUGAGUAAUGUCUGGGAAACUGCCUGAUGGAGGGGGAUAACUACUGGAAACGGUAGCUAAUACCGCAUAACGUCGCAAGACCAAAGUGGGGGACCUUCGGGCCUCAUGCCAUCAGAUGUGCCCAGAUGGGAUUAGCUAGUAGGUGGGGUAACGGCUCACCUAGGCGACGAUCCCUAGCUGGUCUGAGAGGAUGACCAGCCACACUGGAACUGAGACACGGUCCAGACUCCUACGGGAGGCAGCAGUGGGGAAUAUUGCACAAUGGGCGCAAGCCUGAUGCAGCCAUGCCGCGUGUGUGAAGAAGGCCUUCGGGUUGUAAAGCACUUUCAGCGGGGAGGAAGGCUGUGAGGUUAAUACCCUCAUCGAUUGACGUUACCCGCAGAAGAAGCACCGGCUAACUCCGUGCCAGCAGCCGCGGUAAUACGGAGGGUGCAAGCGUUAAUCGGAAUUACUGGGCGUAAAGCGCACGCAGGCGGUUUGUCAAGUCGGAUGUGAAAUCCCCGGGCUCAACCUGGGAACUGCAUUCGAAACUGGCAGGCUAGAGUCUUGUAGAGGGGGGUAGAAUUCCAGGUGUAGCGGUGAAAUGCGUAGAGAUCUGGAGGAAUACCGGUGGCGAAGGCGGCCUCCUGGACAAACACUGACGCUCAGGU